UAUAUUUGUGUAAAAUUAGAAACAAUAUACUCAUGGCAGAAUUCACAUUUUUAUUCUACAGCCUUUCCUGCCUAAAAUUGUACAGGAGGUCAAGAACAACAGUGCUGUCAUGUUUGUCUUCCUGUCCCCAAUACUUGGUUGGCAUGGUGCCUGGCUUGAGGAUGUAAUUGGAUGAGUCUGCAGAAGGAUAAGGUAUGUGGACUGGAUCGGAAUUGUCCCAUUGGAGCUAUGCUAGAUCAUACGGCCCC
This 248-nucleotide long non-coding RNA is filed under the name Mustela putorius furo (domestic ferret). Its description in RNAcentral is "lncRNA (ENSMPUG00000025415.1)". The record is from RNAcentral. Lineage: Eukaryota; Metazoa; Chordata; Mammalia; Carnivora; Mustelidae.